CUUUUGGAGUUAAAGAACUGGCAUAUGCUGAAGAGACAUAGCAGCAUGAAGAACAUUGAACUUCCUUCCCUCUCAAGUUUUGACCUUUCAAGUCCUGUCUGCCCCCAGACUUCUGGAUGACUUCAAGCAACAGAGAUAUAUUUCACCCAUCUUUGAUAGUUUUUGAAGAUAAAAAAUAAAAUAUUUGAGCACUUUCCUAUGGGAUUUCAAAGAUUCAAACACUCCAGGGGAGAGAUGUAGAACUCAGUACACAUCAUUUUGGUUUUUCCUCCUCCAAGUCUCCAUCACGUGGCAUCAAAAUAACAUUGGAUUAAAAUAAACAUCAAGGAAUUUCCACGAAGCAGCAUGGGAUGAUUGAGUGCUCAUUUUGCAGUGGAGAAGCCAAGAAGUAAACCCACGAAUGGCCAAUCAUGGG
This is a long non-coding RNA of Canis lupus familiaris (dog), 415 nucleotides long. RefSeq lists it as uncharacterized. NCBI's taxonomy places the organism in Eukaryota, Metazoa, Chordata, Mammalia, Carnivora, Canidae. The transcript has 3 exons. The record is from RefSeq and is a predicted model, not a curated record.